Molecule: long non-coding RNA, 450 nt
Organism: Suricata suricatta (meerkat)
Lineage: Eukaryota; Metazoa; Chordata; Mammalia; Carnivora; Herpestidae
Exons: 2
Source: RefSeq, a predicted model, not a curated record
CAAAGCUAACAGUCCUCUCCUUCAUGAAACUCACAUUGUGGUCUGAGCAUAGAGGGAGAAGAUAGGCAAACAAAUACAUGAAAAUAUAGAACGUCAUGUGGAGCAACGCUUGGCAGAGGGGAAUGCUGGAGCAUGCGGGUUUUAUACAACCAGUUGGCCCAGUGCUGGACAAGAGUCAGUGAAGAUGGCUACUCUAUGCAAACCCUUCUCAUAGGUCAGCUGCCAUCCACACUAUGGUUCCCUGCUAGAACUGAGAUACCAAAAGAACACUUGGAAAUCUAGGAGACACUGAGACACAAGAAGGAGAGAUGGUCUCCUUCAUGUUCAUUUAUCAAAGCCAAAUUACCAAAUUAGUUUAAUUUGGAGAUACACUUUUGGCUAAAAACUAGCACCAAAAAAAAAAAAAGUGACCCAAUUCAAAUAAAAAUCUUCUGUAAGAUUAAAGGCGAA